Molecule: long non-coding RNA, 497 nt
Organism: Silurus meridionalis
Lineage: Eukaryota; Metazoa; Chordata; Actinopteri; Siluriformes; Siluridae
Exons: 6
Source: RefSeq, a predicted model, not a curated record
UCAACCAAUCAGCGUGUAGAACCGGAGCACAUAAAAGAACGUGCUCGGCAUUUCCUCUUCCUCUUUCCUGCGGUGGUGGUGAAGGAGAAGAGGAAGCCGGAAUGUUCCGAGCUCUCGGCGUGGUCCAGAUGUGGCCCGGUGGCUGAAGACGUGAUCCUGAGCUGAUGCUUUAAGAUGAAUGCAGGUUAAUCUUGCUGAAAGGACAUGAAGAAGAGUUAAAAGACUGGUGCUGAAUCAGCGGUCUGAUGUCGGCGGUCCGAUGUUGGUGGUCUACCUUGACUCAGGAGGGAGUCUGAGGCCUGAUGUUGGACCAUGUUCAACCUGAUGCAUCAGGAUGGAGCAGAUAAACAUCACCUGAUGCAGACUUUGAGGACCUACUGCUUACUCUGAUCACAUGACUAGCAGCUGAAAACUCAUCAGAUGAAUGAUCUUUUACUUUGCAUAUUGUCUGCAUUAAAAAAAAAAAAAAGAGAAAUAAAAUGUUUUUAUAAAAUAAA